GUUCAUUCAAUGGCAUAUAUCUACAAUGGGAAUGGCACAAAGAGGGUUAGCAUGACCCCUGUGCAAGGAUGACACACACAUUCUUGAAAUAUCCCAUACUUUA
This is a small nuclear RNA of Mesocricetus auratus (golden hamster), 103 nucleotides long. Lineage: Eukaryota; Metazoa; Chordata; Mammalia; Rodentia; Cricetidae. The record is from Ensembl.